This 73-nucleotide transfer RNA is filed under the name Paramuricea clavata. It matches the Rfam family "tRNA". From Rfam's summary of the family: Transfer RNA (tRNA) molecules are approximately 80 nucleotides in length. Their secondary structure includes four short double-helical elements and three loops (D, anti-codon, and T loops). Further hydrogen bonds mediate the characteristic L-shaped molecular structure. tRNAs have two regions of fundamental functional importance: the anti-codon, which is responsible for specific mRNA codon recognition, and the 3' end, to which the tRNAs corresponding amino acid is attached (by aminoacyl-tRNA synthetases). tRNAs cope with the degeneracy of the genetic code in two manners: having more than one tRNA (with a specific anti-codon) for a particular amino acid; and 'wobble' base-pairing, i.e. permitting non-standard base-pairing at the 3rd anti-codon position. Lineage: Eukaryota; Metazoa; Cnidaria; Anthozoa; Malacalcyonacea; Plexauridae. The record is from Rfam by way of RNAcentral.
GACCGCGUAGCUCGGUUGGAAGAGCAUUGGGCUGGUAUUCCAAAGGUCGUAGGUUCGAAUCCCACCGUGGCCG